Long non-coding RNA from Sphaeramia orbicularis (orbiculate cardinalfish), 255 nucleotides. RefSeq lists it as uncharacterized. Lineage: Eukaryota; Metazoa; Chordata; Actinopteri; Kurtiformes; Apogonidae. The record is from RefSeq and is a predicted model, not a curated record. The transcript has 2 exons.
AUGGGGUCCUCGCCGCUGGAGUACCCAUCAUUCUCCUCUGAGGCAUCCACCGAGAGAGACGCCUUGUUCCAGCCUGCUUUAAGAAAGACAAGAGGAGAACUGGACAACAGACCAAAGGUUAAAAUACACAUCAUCAAACGCCAACCUGAAAGAAGGCACAGUCGGAGCACUGCCUCCACAAGCUCUCAGAGCGUGGUUUAUUUUGGCAGUACGCCUCGUAUAUCUGCAGGUCCUUCAUCUAAAGACAGACGAAAA